UUUGAAUGGCAGCUGUCAUUCUACGUCUGAUAUGUCCCUAUGUGAUGUUUGUGGCAUUUCUCUGCAUUUCCUGCAUCAUUUAUGCAAUAUGCUAAGUACAAUCCUAAAUGUAUCCAUUCUUUUGCUCUCUUUCAAAACUCCUGCCCCAAUAAUCUGAAACCUCCAUCCCUAACCACCUUUCACAUCCAAGGUUAAAGAAGCUCUCUGGAACUUCUGUUUGUUUGCAUUUUCUACAUCUGCAGAGAGAAGGGAUUGUAUCACCUGAGCGAUGCCUUAAACACGCAGAAAAGAAGUAACACCUUUAUAAUGAAAAGGAUUUAUGGCAGUGUGAGCAAAACCCAGUAUAAAUUACAUCUGAAGUUAUCAAUAGCUGCAGAAGUGAAAAAGUGCAGGCAUAGCUCCUUCACCACUGGAAGGCUUACCAGGAACGUUGUCUACUCCAUAUAAAACGUGUAAAAUAGCACAUAUGUGACUAGAAACAGGAAACCCACGCUGAGCUGACGCAGUAUCUAAUGUUUCAACACUGCAAUACACUUUUUCUUCCUUAGCCUUUCCCAUACAGGGUUCACAAUGAUGUGUAGGAUACAUUAGUUAUGCCUCUGCUACUGUCCUGCUUUUGUGUGGAAAACAGAAAUGAAAAGAGUUUUGCAAACCACUCAGCUCAUCCAUGGCCAUGAUGGAAUUCAGUGCAGGUCUCUACCUUCCAACACUCUGCUUUAGCCGAGUUUGCCUUGUUCUUCACAAGGGAUGGCUUCUUCCAGCAAACAAACACUGUCCCUGCUCAA
Non-coding RNA from Cyanistes caeruleus (blue tit), 785 nucleotides. Lineage: Eukaryota; Metazoa; Chordata; Aves; Passeriformes; Paridae. The record is from RefSeq and is a predicted model, not a curated record.